This 253-nucleotide ribosomal RNA is filed under the name uncultured bacterium. Its description in RNAcentral is "partial 16S ribosomal RNA". It matches the Rfam family "Bacterial small subunit ribosomal RNA", at positions 524 to 776 of the family's 1533-position model. The record is from RNAcentral.
UACGUAGGGUGCGAGCGUUAAUCGGAAUUACUGGGCGUAAAGUGUGCGCAGGCGGCAGAGCAAGUCGAGUGUGAAAGCCCCGGGCUUAACUUGGGAAUUGCGCUCGAAACUUCUUUGCUGGAGUGUGGCAGAGGAAGGUGGAAUUCCACGUGUAGCGGUGAAAUGCGUAGAGAUGUGGAGGAACACCAAUGGCGAAGGCAGCCUUCUGGGCCAACACUGACGCUCAUGCACGAAAGCGUGGGGAGCAAACAGG